GGGGGCGAGGAUGAAAAGGGAAUCAGGUGCAAGACCUGAACAGUACCCGCUGCUGUGAGUUCCCCGCAACACGACACUUCGUUUCACACAAGCCACUGGCCGCACAAGUUGACAGCUACACUCUCUAUAAGUCGACUGCAUCGGGCCUGGGAAGGCGUGAAACCGAAGGGAACAAGUCAGAAGACCUGCCUUGAGCGCU
Molecule: non-coding RNA, 199 nt
Filed under: Sodaliphilus pleomorphus
Lineage: Bacteria; Pseudomonadati; Bacteroidota; Bacteroidia; Bacteroidales; Muribaculaceae
Source: RNAcentral